AAGUCGUAACAAGGUCUCCGUUGGUGAACCAGCGGAGGGAUCAUUACAGAGUUUACAACUCCCAAACCCACUGUGAACCUUACAGCGUCGUUGCCUCGGCGGACCGCCCCCGGCGCCCGCCGGAGGACCCAAACUCUUGUAUUUGCAGGAUGCAUUGCUCUGAGUGAAAACAAGCAAAUGAAUCAAAACUUUCAACAACGGAUCUCUUGGUUCUG
RNAcentral lists this unclassified non-coding RNA (215 nucleotides) under fungal sp. Its description in RNAcentral is "partial internal transcribed spacer region". The stretch from base 1 to 46 matches the Rfam family "Eukaryotic small subunit ribosomal RNA", at positions 1786 to 1831 of the family's 1831-position model. RNAcentral also lists the same sequence under 1 other name. Lineage: Eukaryota; Fungi. The record is from RNAcentral.